RNAcentral lists this ribosomal RNA (593 nucleotides) under embryophyte environmental sample. RNAcentral describes it as "eukaryotic LSU rRNA". The stretch from base 189 to 344 matches the Rfam family "5.8S ribosomal RNA". The record is from RNAcentral. Lineage: Eukaryota; Viridiplantae; Streptophyta.
GUCCACUGAACCUUAUCAUAAGGAGAAGUCGUAACAAGGUUUCCGUAGGUGAACCUGCGGAAGGAUCAUUGUCGAACCUGCUUCAUGCAAAAAACAACCAACCCCGGCGCAGUACGCGCCAAGGAAUAGAAAAUGAAAAGGGCGUGCUUUUCUUUCGGAAUGCAUUGCCUUCUUUCAAGAAUCAAAAUGACUCUCGGCAACGGAUAUCUCGGCUCUCGCAUCGAUGAAGAACGCAGCAAAAUGCGAUACUUGGUGUGAAUUGCAGAAUCCCGUGAAUCAUCGAGUUUUUGAACGCAAGUUGCGCCCGAAGCCAUUAGGCCGAGGGCACGCCUGCCUGGGUGUCACACAUCGUUUCCCCAACGCAAACAUGUAACAAUGUUGCUGCGCGGGGUGUAUGCUGACCUCCCGCGAGCACCCGCCUCGUGGUUGGUUGAAAUCUGGGUUCAUGGCCGACUUCGCCGUGAUAAAAUGGUGGAUGAGCCACGCUCGAGACCAAUCACGUGCGAGCCGGUCAGUUCUGGACCCAUCGACGACCCUUUGCGUGCACGCACGCUCCCAACGAGACCUCAGGUCAGGCGGGGCUACCCGCUGAG